RNAcentral lists this non-coding RNA (147 nucleotides) under Streptomyces niveus. The record is from RNAcentral. Lineage: Bacteria; Bacillati; Actinomycetota; Actinomycetes; Kitasatosporales; Streptomycetaceae.
GGGAUACGCACGCGUGGUGGACUGCCGAGGCCAAUACGGCGACAGCGAAGAGGAAGCCGGUGCGAAUCCGGCGCGGUCCCGCCACUGUGACGGGAGACGGUCAAGUCUCCCGGAGCCAGGAACUCUUGUCGCCGCAUCACGUCGAAC